RNAcentral lists this unclassified non-coding RNA (215 nucleotides) under Hevea brasiliensis (rubber tree). Lineage: Eukaryota; Viridiplantae; Streptophyta; Magnoliopsida; Malpighiales; Euphorbiaceae. The record is from RNAcentral.
GGUUAUUGAUGUUGAGAAAAAAACUCUUAACAAUGUUAUCACUUUCCCACCUGAUGGGGUUUUCUUUGUUCGGUCUACUAUUGAAGUUGCAUCUUCUCAGCGUGUAAAUUUCAGAUUCACAAGUGCAGUUCUGCGUGGAAAAAAUUGGGAAUUUCCUCUACCACCAUUUGGACAAGGGUGGUUUGAGACUGUGUACCUUGAUGAUGAUAUUCGAG